Beta vulgaris subsp. vulgaris (sugar beet) is the source of this 1388-nucleotide RNA transcript. It is a transcript of the gene named probable inactive shikimate kinase like 1, chloroplastic, with no coding region annotated. The record is from RefSeq and is a predicted model, not a curated record. The transcript is spliced from 11 exons. NCBI's taxonomy places the organism in Eukaryota, Viridiplantae, Streptophyta, Magnoliopsida, Caryophyllales, Amaranthaceae.
ACAUACCCUAGACUUAUGAUCUAUUUCACAAAAACCUCCAAGUCUAAGGUGGUGGUAUUAAAAAGGAAUUGCAAACACACAAAAAAAAGAAAUAGAAACCACCUACUUCCAUGGAGAUAAGCAUACUCCCACGAAAAAUCCAGUGUAUAUGCAGGGGCAGCACUAUUCACCCGAAAUUUCAACAACAAUUCUUCUCUCUUCAUUCUCCCAUUUCUUUAUCUCAUUUCAGAGCUCCGAGUUUUUGCCAAAAAUGGCGGAAGCAACUCACCACUACUCGCUCAUUCGCCGACGAAGCUCAAGCUACUACUGCUGUAAAUUUGGAAGCUGAACCUGUUAGUGCUGAUGCAUCUGUUGCUGUAAAGAACAAGGCAACAGCUAUAUCUGCAGAUCUGAAAGGAACAUCGAUAUUCCUUGUCGGUAUGAGCAGUACAAUGAAGACCAGUGUGGGCAAGAUUCUUGCAGAUGAGUUACGAUAUUACUACUUUGAUAGUGAUAUGGUAGUUGAGGAGGCGGCUGGUGAGUAUUCUUCUGGCAAAUCUUUCAGAGAGAGGAAUGAAGAUGGUUUUCGUGAAUCAGAGUUUAUCUUGCAGACUGAGGUUUUGAAGCAAUUAUCGUCAUUGGGCCGAUUGGUUGUCAAUGCAGGAAAUGGUGCGGUUGAGACUGCAACUAAUUUGUCUCUUCUACGCCAUGGAAUUAUAAUAUGGAUAGAUGUUCCUCUAUACAUGAUAGCAAAGGAAUUUAUCAGAGAUGAUGAUCAAUCUACAAUGCCCAACAUAUCUACUUCAGAUUCCUUCUCUGAGGCAUUGGACCAGGUAACUCUGGUUUAUGAAGAAAACAGAGAAGGAUAUGCUACAGCAGAUGCAAUGAUCUCAGUUCAAGGGGUGGCUUCCAAACUUGCUUAUGAUGAAUUUGAGCAUGUCACUGCUGAAGACAUGGCAUUGGAGGUCUUGAAGCAGAUAGAGAAGCUUACAAGAGUCAGGAAGAUGAUGGAAGAAGCUGGAAGACCUUUUUAAUUGAAGUUUGCUUCUUUCUUUCGCUUUUUGUCUAAAUACUAACUUUUAACUUUAAAGCGCUGUUGAAAAUUCUCAUUCUUCCUAAAAAAGCAAAUUCAAACUCUUGGUGCCAAGCAUGAGAUAUUAUUCUUCCCGCUGAAAAAGCUACCGGUGUCGGGUGCAUAUUUUGUUAGAUUCUGUCUUUCAUUCUAAGCUUCAGCCUUUUUCUUCUUGAUUUGCUAAUUGUAAAGGAAGAAAAGCUUAAAAAGGGAAAAACCAAGUGAAAAUUGUCUAAAAAUGAUUAAUUUCAACUGUAUUACAAGGAGUCUUCAUUAUUUAUUUGGUUUAAAACUGAUUUAAUGGAAAAAGGUAUUUGCUGAAUUAGCUAAUAUGAAA